Molecule: ribosomal RNA, 521 nt
Filed under: Micromonospora sp. PC1017
Lineage: Bacteria; Bacillati; Actinomycetota; Actinomycetes; Micromonosporales; Micromonosporaceae
Description: bacterial SSU rRNA
Rfam family: Bacterial small subunit ribosomal RNA
Source: RNAcentral
GGCCCUUCGGGGUACUCGAGCGGCGAACGGGUGAGUAACACGUGAGCAACCUGCCCUAGGCUUUGGGAUAACCCUCGGAAACGGGGGCUAAUACCGGAUAGGACCUUCGGACGCAUGUCUGGGGGUGGAAAGUUUUUCGGCCUGGGAUGGGCUCGCGGCCUAUCAGCUUGUUGGUGGGGUGAUGGCCUACCAAGGCGACGACGGGUAGCCGGCCUGAGAGGGCGACCGGCCACACUGGGACUGAGACACGGCCCAGACUCCUACGGGAGGCAGCAGUGGGGAAUAUUGCACAAUGGGCGGAAGCCUGAUGCAGCGACGCCGCGUGAGGGAUGACGGCCUUCGGGUUGUAAACCUCUUUCAGCAGGGACGAAGCGCAAGUGACGGUACCUGCAGAAGAAGCGCCGGCCAACUACGUGCCAGCAGCCGCGGUAAGACGUAGGGCGCGAGCGUUGUCCGGAUUUAUUGGGCGUAAAGAGCUCGUAGGCGGCUUGUCGCGUCGACCGUGAAAACUUGGGGCUCAA